Molecule: unclassified non-coding RNA, 240 nt
Filed under: uncultured fungus
Lineage: Eukaryota; Fungi
Description: sequence contains ITS2
Source: RNAcentral
AACGCACAUUGCGCCCCUUGGUAUUCCGGGGGGCAUGCCUGUUCGAGCGUCAUUACAACCCUCAAGCUCUGCUUGGUAUUGGGCAUCACCAGUUCUGGUGUGCUCUAAAAUCAGUGGCGGUGCCGUCUGGCUCUAAGCGUAGUACAUACUCUCGCUAUGGAUGCCCGGCGGAUGCUUGCCAGCAACCCCCAAUUUUUUAAGGUUGACCUCGGAUCAGGUAGGGAUACCCGCUGAACUUAA